AGGGCAUCAAGGGACGACUGAAC
This 23-nucleotide non-coding RNA is filed under the name Cricetulus griseus (Chinese hamster). Lineage: Eukaryota; Metazoa; Chordata; Mammalia; Rodentia; Cricetidae. The record is from RNAcentral.